RNAcentral lists this ribosomal RNA (223 nucleotides) under Pseudomonadales bacterium. Its description in RNAcentral is "partial 16S ribosomal RNA". It matches the Rfam family "Bacterial small subunit ribosomal RNA", at positions 1311 to 1533 of the family's 1533-position model. The record is from RNAcentral. Lineage: Bacteria; Pseudomonadati; Pseudomonadota; Gammaproteobacteria; Pseudomonadales.
CUCGACCCCAUGAAGUCGGAAUCGCUAGUAAUCGCGAAUCAGAAUGUCGCGGUGAAUACGUUCCCGGGCCUUGUACACACCGCCCGUCACACCAUGGAAGUGGAUUGCACCAGAAGUAAUUAGUUUAACCUUCGGGAGGACGGUUACCACGGUGUGGUUCAUGACUGGGGUGAAGUCGUAACAAGGUAGCCGUAGGGGAACCUGCGGCUGGAUCACCUCCUUA